Zopfia rhizophila CBS 207.26 is the source of this 89-nucleotide non-coding RNA. NCBI's taxonomy places the organism in Eukaryota, Fungi, Ascomycota, Dothideomycetes, Zopfiaceae. The record is from the annotation of a GenBank genome assembly.
AGACUAAUGGUCUAGUGGUAUGACGUUCGCUUCACAAACUUGUGGUUCAAAAACGCGAAAGGUCCUGGGUUCGAUCCCCAGUUGGUCUA